RNAcentral lists this microRNA (21 nucleotides) under Medicago truncatula (barrel medic). Its description in RNAcentral is "mtr-miR2670d". The record is from miRBase by way of RNAcentral. Lineage: Eukaryota; Viridiplantae; Streptophyta; Magnoliopsida; Fabales; Fabaceae.
CAAGAAGGUUGCUCACUAUUU